AUUCUGAAUUUAAUCAAGUUGAAGUUCACGAAUGGCCUGCAGCACCGAGGUGGCACAGGAAUACAACACGGUGUCAUCUGCAUAGAGAUUAAUGUUACAAGUGUUAAGUGUUUCCUAUGUCAUUAAUAUACAAAAGUGAACAAUAAUGGACCCAAAAUCAAACCCUGAGGAACACCUUUUUGAAUCUCAAGAUAAUUCAGAUUUAACCCCAUCUAUCAAGAUGGGCUGAGUUCUGUCACUAAGAUAAUUCAGAUUUAACCCCAUCUAUCAAGAUGGGCUGAGUUCUGUCGCUAAGAUAAUUCAAAUUUAACCCCAUCUAUUAAGAUGGGCUGAGUUCUGUCGCUAAGAUAAUUCAGAUUUAACCCCAUCUAUCAAGAUGGGCUGAGUUCUGUCGCUAAGAUAAUUCAGAUUUAACCCCAUCUAUCAAGAUGGGCUGAGUUCUGUCGCUAAGAUAAUUCAGAUUUAACCCCAUCUAUCAAGAUGGGCUGAGUUCUGUCGCUAAGAUAAUUCAGAUUUAACCCCAUCUAUCAAGAUGGGCUGAGUUCUGUCGCUAAGAUAAUUCAGAUUUAACCCCAUCUAUCAAGAUGGGCUGAGUUCUGUCGCUAAGAUAAUUCUGAAACCAUAAACAGGCUGUAUAGCUCAGGCCGACUCUUGAUCAUUUCCUCAGCAAAACAGAAUGAUCAACAGUGUCGAACGCCUUUGGCAGAUCAAUAAACAAGGCAGCACAGCGAUUUUUAGCAUCCAAGGCAUUGACAAGAUCAUUAACAACUAGCAUAGUUGCUGUGGUAGUACUAUGCCCAGGCCUAAACCCUGAUUGGUUUAUAUUGAAAAUACAGUUAUCAGAUAAAAAUAACUAAGUUGUACAUUAAACAAGGAUUCAUGAAUCUUAGCUAAACAAUACUAGUCUUGAAAUGGGGCGAUAGUUGUCAAGAUCAUUUGUAUCCUCACCCUUAUGGGGGCGAUAGUUGUCAAGGUCAUUUGUAUCCUCACCCUUAUGGGGGCGAUAGUUGUCAAGGUCAUUUGUAUCCUCACCCUUAUGGGGCGAUAGUUGUCAAGGUCAUUUGUAUCCUCACCCUUAUGGGGGCGAUAGUUGUCAAGGUCAUUUGUAUCCUCACCCAUAUGGGGGCGAUAGUUGUCAAGGUCAUUUGUAUCCUCACCCUUAUGGGGGCGAUAGUUGUCAAGGUCAUUUGUAUCCUCACCCUUAUGGGGGCGAUAGUUGUCAAGGUCAUUUGUAUCCUCACCCUUAUGUGGGCGAUAGUUGUCAAGGUCAUUUGUGUCCUCACCCUUAUGGGGGCGAUAGUUGUCAAGGUCAUUUGUAUCCUCACCCUUAUGGGGCGAUAGUUGUCAAGGUCAUUUGUAUCCUCACCCUUAUGGGGGCGAUAGUUGUCAAGGUCAUUUGUAUCCUCACCCUUAUGGGGGCGAUAGUUGUCAAGGUCAUUUGUAUCCUCACUCUUAUGGAGUGGCAGCACAUACGCAGAUUUCCAGGCUUUUGGAAUACUUCCUGAUAACAAUGUGAAGUAAAAAAUGUGGGCUACUGAACCAGCAUUAAUGGGUGCUGCACAAUUAAGCAGACCAGGCUCCAAAUGAUUAGCACCUGUGGAUUUUUGUUGUUGUUGUCUAAUGUUAUCCAGGACUUAACAGUGAAUUUCCAAUAGAACUCCUGACCAGCAUUUUCAGUAUCAUUCCAAACGACACUACACCAAACUCAACAUCCAAACGACACUACACCGAACUCAACAUCCAAACGACACUACACCAAACUCAACAUCCAAACGACACUACACCAAACUCAACAUCCAAACGACACUUUUAAAGAGCUGGCUUUGAAAUACAUUCAAAUAAAAAGCCUGCAGAGAUAAAAGGGUGAUUAAAUACAUUAAUGAUAUCAAUUUUUCAGGAGUAGGGACAGAAUCUGAGUUAGUUUAUUGGGGGAGAGAAGAGGACACACAACCCUUCAGUGAUUUAACAGCUUUCCGGAAUUUAGCUGGGUUCCCUGUACAUCAGAUAUUGUAUUAACAUAAUAAUCUGAUUUCGCUUUUUAAACUAGUUUUACACACAGAUUUCUCAAUCGCCUGAAAGACUGUGAAAGAGAAAUUAGGUAUUUAUCUGAUUUGUUAACUGCCGGUCUGGGCCUGACUCUGUGAAUCUAGCUUUGGCCCAGGCAGCAUCUCGGUUCUGUAUGACUUCAGAUAGCUCUGGACUGAACCAAGGGCAAUACCUAUUUUUAAUGAUCCGUUUUUUAAAGGGAGCAUGUUUAUCUACAAUACAUUUGAGAAGUGGUUCAGAGCCAACUCUGGGUCAGGUACAGAUGCAAUACACUCAAAGUCCCCAAAAUAAAGGUCACAAUAAAAGGCCUUCAUUAUAAUGUUUAAAAUUCCUCUUGUUGAUAAAACGAGGUUUGGAUCUAGGCAUCCGUAUAUCCCUGACACAUACAAUGGGACAGUGGUCACUAAUAUCCAAAGCAAAUACCCCACUCCCAUUAUAUUUCUCUGGAGUAUUUGUGAAUAUGAAGUCAGUCAAAGUCGAUUUCGUAGGGUCCUUUUAAAUUUGGACUAAUAGUCUUUGUCAUCAGCUGGGUCAAAUUUAGAUUAGUACAAAAAUCCUUUAAACAGUCAGCAUCUUGCGUUCCCCGUGCAAGAUUAAAAUCUCCAGCAAUCAACACCUCUGUGGUAGUAAAAAUGGCAAUUAAAUCAGUGAGUUCGUUUAGUACACACUUCUUGGCGAAGGGCUGACGAUAGAUUCCUAUAACUGUUAUUUUUGAGUUUGAACCCAACUGAAGACUUAAAGCCAACAAUUCAAAUUGUUUAGGACUGGAGGUCGCCUUUAACAGAGACACAGAAAGAAGAGUAUUUGUGUAAAUAGCAACACCACCCCCUUUGUCUUUCCUAUCAGCCCUAAACACAUUGUAACCAUCCGUAGCGACCUCAGAGUCCAGGGUUUUAUCAGUUAACCAGGUUUCAUAUAAAAUAAAAAUGUCAGGGUCUGACUGAGAGACCCAGAUCCAUUUUUAGGUAAUAAACUACAAAUGUUAAUAUGUAAAAAUGUCAUACCUUUUCCGUAUUUAAAAUCACACGUAGUUUCAAUACAAGUCAGAUUUACUUUGAGAUUUCAGAACAACAGGAGACUCAAAGAUUGGAUUAUACCUAUUAGGAAAAUAGCAAUGACAUUUCCCCGCUAAGCACCAUUCGACAUGUCACCACUUUCAGAUACAACGUGUGGAACUCUCACAAUGACCAAAGAGGAGAUGGUAAAAACAUACUGACAUAUAAUGCUAAUAUUGUCCUCACAUCAAUUUAGUUGACCAACAACCUUUCCAAUGUUUGAUGACAACAGCCGGGAGCCAUUUUCACCCGGAUGAAUUCAGUCUUCCGCAAAGUAGCCAGGCCUAUUCCAGAAGGAGUCAUUAACUGACGACGAAGGACAUGCCCAAGUCCUUAGUCAGACGCAUUAACCACUGGCGACGAGACCAAAAGAUGACUAAAACAUGAAAUUGAGCCCGAGACAAUGAUAUGUUUUGCUCAUUUCUGAGCUGUAAAGAAAAUAGUCUCUUAGCUUUACGGAGUUCACACGCAUAAUAUCAUUAGAUCCAAUAUGCCCCACAACUGUUUUCAGAGCAGGAAUCUGUUUCUUGAUGACUUCUGAUAAAUCCUAUUCGGGGCGGCAGGGUAGCCUAGUGGUUAGAGCGUUGGACUAGUAACCGGAAGGUUGCAAGUAUAAACCCCCGAAAUGACAAGGUACAAAUCUGUUGUUCUGCCCCUGAACAGGCAGUUAACCCACUGUUUCUAGGCCGUCAUUGAAAAUAAGAAUUUGUUCUUAACUACUUAAAUAAAGGUAAAAUAAAAAAAUUCCCUUAGCUCCAGCUUCGGAUUUCCACCAAAUCUAACCAUGGAGCGUCCCCAAAAUAAUGGUUGAUGGCUGUUGUCCAUUUCGAGCCGGAGCCCUCAGCCCCAGCUAAGAUUCCUCUAACUCGCCCCCCACAAAUGACAGGAAUAGGAGACCCUGGUGAUGCCAAUAUUAUAUUACAGUAAGUAGGAUACCAUAUAUAAGUGGUUCCUCUCUUUUUACCUUCAGUCUAGCCUGGUAGGCAACUUAAAAUAAAACCGAACAUGAUUUUCCACCUCCAUUGGCUGUAAUCGAUUCACUAGCAACUUAUUAUAUUACUACUUGUUACAAUACAGCCAUAGGUCUACAGUAGUGUCAGGAAGCACUGGGUCUAUUCACCAAGUCCACACUAUCAUGAAUAUAAACACUAAUGAAGCAACUAAGUGGUUACAGUCUCUGUAAGACUAAAUAAAAAGGUAUGUAUUGAAUUUAAACUCCCAAAACAAAACAUGUCCACCGUAUCCAAGCAGCACCAUGUGACCUAUCUCCGGCACUAUUAUUCUCCGCACUUUUUGUAAACCCUUACGCUCCUGGGUAUUGUGAGAGAAGGUGUCCCCUCCUAUAUACCACCUACACUACCGUUGUAAACAGAGGCGGUGGUGAAAAUGUUGAAUUAACCAUACAACCUUAAUCUGGAGAAAUUCACUCCAAACAUCCUAGUUCUGGGACCUUCUCUCUCCUGGCCCAUGUAAAUCCACUACCUGUUAACAGUAACUGUGUUGUAAUACCACCUGUUAACAGUAACUGUGUUCUAAUACCACCUGUUAACAGUAACUGUGUUGUAAUACCACCUGUUAACAGUAACUGUGUUGUAAUACCACCUGUUAACAGUAACUGUGUUCUAAUACCACCUGUUAACAGUAACUGUGUUGUAGUAGCACCUGCUAACAGUAGUAGUUGUAGUACUCUGUGGCUGAAAGGACAUCCUAUUCCUGGUGCAUUGGAACCUAUGGAAUAGUCACCCACCCAUCUGACUCUCCAGGCAGACUCAUUCAAACUACUCAAAUUGAACAUUACACUUGCAGAGAUAACCACCAUGUUUUAUGACACUAAUGUCUGACAGUGCUUCCUGUUUUAGAUCAAAACAGAUGUGACAACAGAUUGCCCCAAGGCUGAGAUGAGUAUCUUGCCGCUGGACCAUCCAAGACACCUCGGACUGUAAGUACUGGGCUUAAUGAAAUACUUUAAAGUGGGGCGGCAGUUAGCCUAGUGGUUAGAGUGUUGGGCCGAUGACCGAAAGAUUGCUGGUUUGAAUACCUGAGCUGACGAGGUGAAAAAUCUGUCGAUGUGCCCUUGACCGAGGCACUUAACACUAAUUUGUUCCAGGGGUGCCAUGCUACUAUGACUAACCCUGUAAAACAACACAUUUCACUGCGCCGAUCCGGUGUAUGUGACAGUAAAACAUGUCGUUUUUAUUUUUAUACUGCAAUUCAGACAAGGUGUUACUCCCUAUAUAAUGUAAUCUUUCCAAACUCAGUGCUGUUGAUUUGAACAAUCCACAUCCUGUUUACCUCUCUUUAAAUUUCCCAAAGAGUAUUUAUUGUAUUUUAAAGCAAUUUAAUUUGAUAUCAUACGAGAAUAAAAGAGAAUGUAAAUGUUACUUAUCAUAUUGGUCCGAUAUACAUUUGGUUUUUGUAUUAUUUAUUCAUUCUUAAUAAAAAGUACAUUUUUAUGCAAUUUCUUUGUGUGUGAGAAUUAUUUUUCUCCAGGUGUCCUGAAUAGAAGCAGAAAAGAAUCUUAACCAACCUCACCAUUCAUGUCACGUGCCUCUUUAUUGCAGCCGAUUGUACAGUCAGUUAAAAGAACAACACGUUUAGAUGAUAGUCGUAGUAACUAUUAGGAAUAUGAUUGGUUAAGCAUGUGGUUAAGCCUUAAUCAAAUGACACCUGAAACCAAUUUAUAUAUAAAAUGUAAUGUCUUGUCCAACAUGAAAUUAUUGUAAUCAGAAUACAAUAUCAAAUAUAUUUCUAGGUGUUACAAAAUUACAUUUAAGCACUUGUUGAGUUUAAGGGUUGGAUUUGUUCCUGUUUUCUUGAAAACAAUUGUUGGACAAAUUAGCUUUUUCAGGAUAUUGCUUUAAACCACAGUUCCUUCCUAAAAAAACACUGGGUUCAAACAGUAAAGAAUAGAAUAACAAAAUAAAGAGAUCUACUUUUAAAUAAUAAAAAUAUACAUUUUAACAUAACAUUCAGUGGCCCUCAAUCACACAGGAAGUGAACACACAGGAAGUGAACACACUGAUUGCACAUCCCAAAUGGAACCCAAUUCCUUAUAUAGAAAACUAUGUUUGACCAGAACCCACAUGGCUCUCUUGGCAUCCAUUUUAGGAGCGAGCAGAGCUGCUGCAUGUGAAUAAUGGUAAAUGGAAGAAUGUGCUGAGACAAUACACACAGAGUUGUGCAGGCAGGCUGAUGAGCUUUGUGAGAGUGAGUUGAGGGGGAAGAGCGAUUUGGUACUGAUGAAGUGUUCUUUGAGUUCAAGCUUUUUAGCGCCACUAGAGGGCAGUAGAAAGCAAAAAAUGUUUAUCACUCAAUUUUCAAAGGACCAGGUUAGUGUUUCUCAGGAACAUAGCCUCGUGCGAACCACCUGAUCUCACGAGCUUACAUUCUGUUUCGUGGUAUCAUUGUUGUUCGUUGGAAAAACACUGAACUAGGUACAUACAGUACACAAUAUAUACUUAGGAACAUUUAGUGAAGAAUGGGGGAAUCACUAUGGUAACAAAAGAACAACAUAAAAAACAGAAUUUAAAUAAUAAUAAUUUAAACGACAGACUAAACUCCCAUAGAACACUGCCCUAAAGAGCAAAAAUGAGUUAAUGUCAUUAAAUACAUGCUUAAUCAUGUGGACAAGUAUCCUGCCUCGUAUUGUGUUUUGGAGAAAAUGGGGGUCAUGUUAGCAGUAACUGCAGAAAGUAAAUAAAAACAGGUAAAGUCAAGGUAAAUAAAACACAUGUUUCUCAGUUCCACAUUAUGAGCAGUUACUGCCUUUUUGCUUGGUAGGGCAGAAUAGCUCUCCCAUAUCAUAGCACUCCCAUAUCAUAGCUCUCCCAUGUCAUAGCUCUCCCAUAUCAUAGCUCUCC
Molecule: non-coding RNA, 6961 nt
Organism: Oncorhynchus mykiss (rainbow trout)
Lineage: Eukaryota; Metazoa; Chordata; Actinopteri; Salmoniformes; Salmonidae
Source: RefSeq, a predicted model, not a curated record